This 3236-nucleotide long non-coding RNA is filed under the name Gallus gallus (chicken). RNAcentral describes it as "lncRNA (ENSGALG00010017251.1)". Lineage: Eukaryota; Metazoa; Chordata; Aves; Galliformes; Phasianidae. The record is from RNAcentral.
CUUCACCACAAGGAGCUCCAGGACAGCCUUUUCUUUGUCUCUACAGAGCAGAAGCAAAGCAACAAACUCCCUCUUUUUUUUUUUUUUUUCUUUUUUCUUUCUUUUCCUGAGGACGAAUCACUUCCAAGUACAUCUGGUUGAGCAUGAAGAAUGAGAAUAUGAAUACAGGCAAUUAUGAUGGAGUAGAGGCCUUGUAAAUUUAUACUCAAGCUUACCCCCUGGUAACUCAUUCAUCUGCGUGUCUUGACAGGAUGCAUGUGAAAUAGUGGGACAAUAAAAGCUGUUGUAAUGCUGAAAGAUGCUAAUAGCUGGCCUCAGGGUGAGCUGGGUUUUCAAGACAAUCACAGAUAAUACAGAUAACACAGUGGAAGCAUUAGACUCAAGAGAAUGAGCUCUCAAGCCUUUAUUCUGUAAAAUAGAGAGACAUAGGCUAUCUCAAAGGAGGGAUGUCCUAGAGGUGUAGAUUUUACAGGAUCUUAUUUUUAUGGAGCAGUACUUUGCAGAACUAUGGGCUAUCUGAAUCUGCUUGCACUUAUGGAAAUGCACAGCAAACAAAGCCAUAGACAAUUGUUCCUUAACAGGAGUAGGUCUGAAGGUGUUGGAAUUGACCCCUUUGACAGGGUGGCGCCCAGCCUGUCUGCCACCCAGCCUGUCUGCCACAUUGAGAACAAAAAGAAAAGCUUAACAAGGAAAUAUGCUCUGUAACUACUUUGGCAGCCUUUGAAUAGUUAGAGAUAUUUCAGGAAAAAAAAAAAUCCUCUAAAAAUUCAGUAUUUUGGAAAUACAGAUCUGUCCCAAGGAACUGCUCGACAAUGAAACUCCUUUUCUGUCUUCCUUCCAUCUCUUCUCUAUAUCUCACAGGGAAGACAGUGUUGUAAUCAGAGGACUAACUGGGAGUAAAUGUUUAUAAGGCUGUGGAUGUUUUUGGAUAUGCCCAUAAUCUGAGUUUUGAUCAGCUUGGUUCUGUGUGAAUGUGGACUCCUUUCCAAGGUGAUGCUUUUGUGAGAAAGCUUAGGAACAGACAACUAGAAUGAAUUCACUCCCAGGUGCUGAGGCAAAUCCGCAAAAAUGUUUUGGAUUUUGAGGGUAUUUCAUUUAAUCUAAACGUGCAGCAGUGUUGAAAGAAGGUUUGUUUCCCAUCCCUCUGUAUGCUGCAAGCUAAAAAAGCCCUUUCCAGACCUUACACCACAGCUGUAACGCAUAAUGACCUCAACAGUUCUCUGCCUGAGGAAGAACAAAAGGACAUCCUAAGGGAAAACGCACAGAUGAUCCUACGAAGUACUUGCACUGCAAUUUAGACACAGGACUAGAGGCAGAAUGCUGGGUGAGCAAGCAAGAAUCCUGGACUUCCUAAGGUAGUGCUGUUUCUUGUAGCCGAGACCCACCAAUGUGAUGGGGCAAACUGGUAGCACUUAACAUAUCACAACCUUUGCAGGGAAAAAUGAAGUGCCAGUCCCGAAUGCUGCACAAGUGACUAUGGAUGUAGAAUGGUGCACGUUUUGUUCUGGGCAUCCUUAUUGAAUAGUGACAUCAUCAGAGGUGCUCGAUUGAUCUGUGAUUUGAGGAGAAACUGCUUGGACUUGAUCCUCCCUUUGUCCUUCCACAGAGAAACAAAUGCUGCGGUGUUCAGCUCUUUCACUGGCAGCUGUCAUACUGAAGAGAACUCACAUGUUAGGAAGAGGUGUUCAGGAAGAAUGGUAUUUUCAUCCAGUUGUGCCCAGAGCAGAAGUUCAUUACUGCAUCGUGGCCAGGACUCAGCCUGCAGCAGUGGGAGCAGGGGCAGCUGGCUAUGAUGGGAGAGAGCGAGACAGUGCUAGGAAGGCUGAGCAAAUAUUGACUUAGACUCUGAAAUGCAUGGGGCAAAUCAGCCAAGAUGUCUGAAGUUGGGUCCUGCUUCCACCAUGUUCGACCAUUGGAUUGGCCUGGUAACAAACCAGGACUUCAUCUACUGUGGUGUGUUGGUAAAGGUAAGCGGUCCAGUCCUAUGUGUGAAGGUACAAAAUGUUAACAGGUAAAUGAAGUGGUAAUGGACCAUCAGUUGCAAAGCACUCAAAAAGCAAGGUGAAGGCAUGUUUCACUGUCUUUAGUAAAUAGCAGUGAUGUUGCAACAAAGGAUAAGGGGGAAAAAGCCAAACGAAACAGAGAAAUGGGAUGUGAGGUUUGCCUUGGCCCAAGCUCACUGGUGUGUAACUUGCCCAUAUAGAUCUUGUUGAACACAGGGUACCCUACUCUCCUAACACAGUGUCCAGUAUGCAGCAAGAGGGCACACCAAAGGGAUGACUCAUAGAUAUCUGAUAUGGAAAUGGAUGCUGUCAAGGCACCAAUCAUGUCUCUGUUCCUACCCAUUGCUUGCUUGACUUCUGACUGUGUCAUAACACGGCUGCAAAGUCUCAGGCUGCUUAGGGUUGCAUCUUCCAAGUAAUCAUUCCAGUCUGGAUUUAUCACCAAAUUAUGGAGAGCCAACAUUACGGUGUUAUUGCAGUGACCCACUCUGUCUCUCUCUCUCUCUAUUUUUUUUUCCCAUCAACUCCAAUUCCUCUUAAGGGCAUUUUAGACUUUAGAAAGUCAUUUGCUGUUCUUUGAGGUGUGAAGGAUGGACAGGCUGAGACUGCCUUUCUCUUACUGAGAAGAUGUGGCAUGUACAAGGCCAUGCAGAUGGCAAUACUGAUGGGAAUAGGAGGCAGGAGAUCAGAAAGUGCCUUGACCCCUGUGAUUCUCCAGGCAUUUGGAAUGCAUAAUUGCAGCUUGUUUAACACCAAAGGAUAACUGAUCAUUCUGAGAGGAGGAAGACACUGGUGGGGAUCGAUAUUCCUAUGGCUGUGCUAGAAAAAUAGCGAAAAAGAAUGGCUCUUUAUCUCUCACAGCAAAGCAGGAGGAAUAAAUGCCUACGACUUCUUGUGAUUGUUCUUUUCAAAGCCCACAGAGGGUUUGUUCAGUGCUGGCUGUCAUUGCAGUCGUGAGCUGCAGUGAGUGUGUAUGGAUGAUGUGCAUCCUUCCUUCCAGACGUGGGCUGACUGAAGGCAAGGCAGGAGAGCUCUGCUUCUUGUUUCAGAGAGGAAAAGUAAGUCACCAUGAAGGUGAAACAUGGAGAAAUUGGGCUGCAGACAGAUUGGUGGAAUAGCGACCGUGGGAAAUCACAACUGAGCACUCCUAUGUUCAUUUUCUGUGUGGGCCAUGUUGAUCUGCAGCUUUUGUGUAAAACUAUGAGUCACGAAGAGCUGAUUUCAGUUGGUAGA